GAUGAACGCUGGCGGCGUGCCUAAUACAUGCAAGUCGAGCGAACAGACGAGGAGCUUGCUCCUCUGACGUUAGCGGCGGACGGGUGAGUAACACGUGGAUAACCUACCUAUAAGACUGGGAUAACUUCGGGAAACCGGAGCUAAUACCGGAUAAUAUAUUGAACCGCAUGGUUCAAUAGUGAAAGACGGUUUUGCUGUCACUUAUAGAUGGAUCCGCGCCGCAUUAGCUAGUUGGUAAGGUAACGGCUUACCAAGGCAACGAUGCGUAGCCGACCUGAGAGGGUGAGCGGCCACACUGGAACGGAGACACGGUCCAGACUCCUACGGGAGGCAGCAGUAGGGAAUCUUCCGCAAUGGGCGAAAGCCUGACGGAGCAACGCCGCGUGAUUGAUGAAGGUCUUCGGAUCGUAAAACUCUGUUAUUAGGGAAGAACAAAUGUGUAAGUAACUAUGCACGUCUUGACGGUACCUAAUCAGAAAGCCACGGCUAACUACGUG
This 497-nucleotide ribosomal RNA is filed under the name uncultured bacterium. RNAcentral's name for it is "partial 16S ribosomal RNA". It matches the Rfam family "Bacterial small subunit ribosomal RNA", at positions 28 to 507 of the family's 1533-position model. The record is from RNAcentral.